GUGGCGGAUGACGGUACCGGAAGAAUAAGCACCGGCUAACUACGUGCCAGCAGCCGCGGUAAUACGUAGGGUGCAAGCGUUAAUCGGAAUUACUGGGCGUAAAGCGUGCGCAGGCGGUUCGCUAAGACAGAUGUGAAAUCCCCGGGCUUAACCUGGGAACUGCAUUUGUGACUGGCGGGCUAGAGUAUGGCAGAGGGGGGUAGAAUUCCACGUGUAGCAGUGAAAUGCGUAGAGAUGUGGAGGAAUACCGAUGGCGAAGGCAGCCCCCUGGGCCAAUACUGACGCUCAUGCACGAAAGCGUGGGGAGCAAACAGGAUUAGAUACCCUGGUAGUCCACGCCCUAAACGAUGUCAACUAGUUGUCGGGUCUUCAUUGACUUGGUAACGUAGCUAACGCG
This 397-nucleotide ribosomal RNA is filed under the name Burkholderia sp. OSi04. RNAcentral's name for it is "bacterial SSU rRNA". It matches the Rfam family "Bacterial small subunit ribosomal RNA", at positions 462 to 859 of the family's 1533-position model. Lineage: Bacteria; Pseudomonadati; Pseudomonadota; Betaproteobacteria; Burkholderiales; Burkholderiaceae. The record is from RNAcentral.